AGUGAACGCUGGCGGUAGGCCUAACACAUGCAAGUCGAGCGGCAGCACAGUAAGAGCUUGCUCUUACGGGUGGCGAGUGGCGGACGGGUGAGGAAUACAUCGGAAUCUACUUUUUCGUGGGGGAUAACGUAGGGAAACUUACGCUAAUACCGCAUAAGACCUACGGGUGAAAGCAGGGGAUCUUCGGACCUUGCGCGAUUGAAUGAGCCGAUGUCGGAUUAGCUAGUUGGCGGGGUAAAGGCCCACCAAGGCGACGAUCCGUAGCUGGUCUGAGAGGAUGAUCAGCCACACUGGAACUGAGACACGGUCCAGACUCCUACGGGAGGCAGCAGUGGGGAAUAUUGGACAAUGGGCGCAAGCCUGAUCCAGCCAUACCGCGUGGGUGAAGAAGGCCUUCGGGUUGUAAAGCCCUUUUGUUGGGAAAGAAAAGCAGCAGGUUAAUACCCCGCUGUUCUGACGGUACCCAAAGAAUAAGCACCGGCUAACUUCGUG
This 492-nucleotide ribosomal RNA is filed under the name uncultured bacterium. Its description in RNAcentral is "partial 16S ribosomal RNA". It matches the Rfam family "Bacterial small subunit ribosomal RNA", at positions 29 to 507 of the family's 1533-position model. The record is from RNAcentral.